AGCGAACGCUGGCGGCAGGCCUAACACAUGCAAGUCGAACGAACCUUUCGGGGUUAGUGGCGGACGGGUGAGUAACACGUGGGAACGUGCCUUUAGGUUCGGAAUAACUCAGGGAAACUUGUGCUAAUACCGAAUGUGCCCUUCGGGGGAAAGAUUAAUCGCCUAGAGAGCGGCCCGCGUCUGAUUAGCUAGUUGGUUGAGGUAAUGGCUCACCAAGGCGACGAUCAGUAGCUGGUCUGAGAGGAUGAUCAGCCACAUUGGGACUGAGACACGGCCCAAACUCCUACGGGAGGCAGCAGUAGGGAAUCUUGCGCAAUGGGCGAAAGCCUGACGCAGCCAUGCCGCGUGAAUGAUGAAGGUCUUAGGAUUGUAAAAUUCUUUCACCGGGGACGAUAAUGACGGUACCCGGAGAAGAAGCCCCGGCUAACUUCGUG
RNAcentral lists this ribosomal RNA (434 nucleotides) under uncultured bacterium. Its description in RNAcentral is "partial 16S ribosomal RNA". It matches the Rfam family "Bacterial small subunit ribosomal RNA", at positions 29 to 507 of the family's 1533-position model. The record is from RNAcentral.